GACGAACGCUGGCGGCGUGCUUAACACAUGCAAGUCGAACGAAGAGCGAUGGAAGCUUGCUUCUAUCAAUCUUAGUGGCGAACGGGUGAGUCACGCGUAAUCAACCUGCCCUUCAGAGGGGGACAACAGUUGGAAACGACUGCUAAUACCGCAUACGAUCUAACCUCGGCAUCGAGGAUAGAUGAAAGGCGGCCUCUACAUGUAAGCUAUCACUGAAGGAGGGGAUUGCGUCUGAUUGGUUAGUUGGCGGGGUAACGGCCCACCAAGGCGAUGAUCAGUAGCCGGUCUGAGAGGAUGGACGGCCACAUUGGGACUGAGACACGCCCCAGACUCCUACGGGAGGCAGCAGUGGGGAAUCUUCCGCAAUGGACGAAAUUCUGACGGAGCAACGCCGCGUGAGUGAUGACGGCCUUCGGGUUGUAAAGCUCUGUUAAUCGGGACGAAAGGCCUUCUUGCGAAUAGUUAGAAGGAUUGACGGUACCGGAAUAGAAAGCCACGGCUAACUACGUG
This 510-nucleotide ribosomal RNA is filed under the name uncultured bacterium. RNAcentral's name for it is "partial 16S ribosomal RNA". It matches the Rfam family "Bacterial small subunit ribosomal RNA", at positions 28 to 507 of the family's 1533-position model. The record is from RNAcentral.